AUACGUAGGUGACAAGCGUUAUCCGGAUUUACUGGGCGUAAAGGGCGUGUAGGCGGUCUUGCAAGUCAGAAGUGAAAUUCCUGAGCUCAACUCGGGCGCUGCUUCUGAAACUGCAGGACUUGAGUGCUGGAGGGGAUAGCGGAAUUCCUAGUGGAGCGGUAAAAUGCGCAGAGAUUAGGAAGAACACCGGUGGCGAAGGCGGAUAUCUGGACAGUAACUGACGCUGAGGCGCGAACGCGUGGGAAGAAAACAGGAUUAGAGACCCUGUUUGUCCACGCCGUAAACGAUGAAUACUAGGUGUAGGGGGUAUCUACUCCGUCUGUGCCGCAGUUAACACAAUAAGUAUUCCGCCUGGGGAGUUCGGCCGCAAGGUUGAAACUCAAAUGAAUUGACUGGG
This 397-nucleotide ribosomal RNA is filed under the name uncultured bacterium. RNAcentral describes it as "partial 16S ribosomal RNA". It matches the Rfam family "Bacterial small subunit ribosomal RNA", at positions 523 to 918 of the family's 1533-position model. The record is from RNAcentral.